This 434-nucleotide ribosomal RNA is filed under the name uncultured bacterium. RNAcentral's name for it is "partial 16S ribosomal RNA". It matches the Rfam family "Bacterial small subunit ribosomal RNA", at positions 29 to 507 of the family's 1533-position model. The record is from RNAcentral.
AGCGAACGCUGGCGGCAGGCCUAACACAUGCAAGUCGAACGAACCUUUCGGGGUUAGUGGCGGGCGGGUGAGUAACACGUGGGAACGUGCCUUUAGGUUCGGAAUAACUCAGGGGAACUUGUGCUAAUACCGAAUGUGCCCUUCGGGGGAAAGAUUAAUCGCCUUUAGAGCGGCCCGCGUCUGAUUAGCUAGUUGGUUGAGGUAAUGGCUCACCAAGGCGACGAUCAGUAGCUGGUCUGAGAGGAUGAUCAGCCACAUUGGGACUGAGACACGGCCCAAACUCCUACGGGAGGCAGCAGUGGGGAAUCUUGCGCAAUGGGCGAAAGCCUGACGCAGCCAUGCCGCGUGAAUGAUGAAGGUCUUAGGAUUGUAAAAUUCUUUCACCGGGGACGAUAAUGACGGUACCCGGAGAAGAAGCCCCGGCUAACUUCGUG